This 7069-nucleotide long non-coding RNA is filed under the name Zea mays. RNAcentral describes it as "long non-coding RNA (ZMAY_LNC000388)". The record is from RNAcentral. Lineage: Eukaryota; Viridiplantae; Streptophyta; Magnoliopsida; Poales; Poaceae.
UGCGCCGUCGGUCACCGGUCGGCCACCAGGAUCUCACGGCCGCUAUGCGCGCUGAGAGAGAAAAAUCGAGUGGAGGAGAGAGAAAAUUGGGGGCUGCAUGAGUUCAUCCGAAGCCGAUCCUUGGACCCUCCUAUACCUAUUGCUUAGCUUCCCCGGCUGUCCACCAUCGCGCGCCAAGAGCACCGUGCGGGCGUGGCCGAUUUCCCCCAGGCAGGAACUUCACCUCCGAACUGACCACGGCGCAUGGACCUCGGGUGAGAACCCUUAGCCGCUUCUGUUUAAUUCAUCCAUGCUUGUAGUACUCUGUAGGCUAGGAUUUCAGGGCUCUGACGACUGGUGCGUCGUGGGCUGGUGAUAAUGUUUAGUGGGCGCUGCUGUUCUGGGAGCUCGCUGCGCCAUGGUGGCCCUCGGACGCUCCCUGGACUGCCUUGCGAGGCGAGAGGAUUGGCGAGGGAGGUUGAAGAUGGACUGGGCGCCGUAGAUUGAGAAUGGGUGGUCCCGAUUAGCUUAACUUAACGCUUCAGAUGAACGAACCUAGGGCGUUAGUUCGUAGACGAUCGGUUAGAUUUGAUCAUGGCGUGAAUCACUGCUGAUCGCUGAUCUCUGAUCGGGCGGCAGUAGAAACGUACCGGUUCAUCUUUUAGCAGAUGUAAUCGUGGCCCUUCGGUUCAGAUCGGACGGCCAGAACUGUUCCGAUACCCCCCUUCGGUCGUGGCAUUUUGUGUAAGAGUCCCUGGACUUAUUGCUAAUCAGCCCGCCAUCCGUGGAAGUUCAAAAAGAAUUACGAUUCAGUCCUUUUUAUUCCGGAUAGGUCCCUGUCCUUUAGGAAAAUUGAAUCUGACGUCCUACUAUUGGCCAGAAAAUUAUUAUUAAACAUAAAAUUUAUCCAUAAACUUGUUUAAUUAAUAACUUUCACAUUUUAACUCCGUUUUGCCCCGUUCUAAUUGCGUUGGACCCGUAUUAAUAUUGCCUACGCCAUAGUAAAAUUAUUUUACCAUGUAACAUGUUCUCAAAAAUAAAUAAUUAAUUUGUCCAACCCAUGGUUAUUGAAUUAACAUGAUUAAUGUGGGUUACUAUGGGAUUUUAAUUAUGAUCAUCUACUGGAAUAUGAUUCUAUUAUAACUAAGAUUAAAAGUUGAGUUAGCUACAUCUUUUCUCACAUGAUUUAUUUUAAUCACCAUAAUAUAUAGUUUUAUUGAUUAAUCACUUAGAACCUAGUAAAUCAUAUCUCCUUAACCACGACUCGAUCUUAGUGGUUCUCGAUCCCUCGAUUUCGUUACGACACGUAGAUCAUUAUUAUUCGGUUUGUACUUAUGUUUGGUGUGAUGUUAAUUUUGUCUAUACCAUGUCUGUUUGUAUUGCUACGACUAGCGCGAGGACACGUGUCAUCUGAAAAGCAAGUUGGUACCUGGAAUCUCAAGUGCCAGGCAAGUUGUGCCCUUGAUCACUUCUUUUUACCCCACUCAUGUUCUAAUUAAUCAUAAUGAUCUGCAUAGGUUAAUUUUGAUGGGACCCAAUAGGUUACCCUAGUUUGUCUAUCUUUAUACCUUGUUUACCACUGAACUUUUUGGGUAGUACUUGCUAGUGCUUUAUGUGGUUUUGGGUAUGAAGAUACAUUAAUCAUGAUCACACUGUUAUUAUCUGUUUAUUAUUACUGUUCAUGAUAAGAUCAUUAUGUUAAUUGGAACAUGGAGAACCACCCGGGAAAACAGUGCUACCACAAGGGAGGAAUGGGACCCCUUGGCUGAUUAAUUAGGAAAGCUAGUGGAAGACUACCUUACCCGAAAGGGGCAAGGGCAGUAGGGGAGUGGUCAGUGUAGGGAGGCCCUCGGGAGGAUUUUGCUGCGAUGGCGGUCCUGCAAGGGAUUCCUGCAUUGGAGCUUUCAAUAAACUGUAGCGGGUUUUCUGAAGCUAGUGGAACUUUGUAAAGGCCUCGUAGUGUUACCCUGCCUCGCCUCCUCGGUAGAGGUGUUUGGGAAGUCGCGAUCCCUUGGCAGAUGGGUAACAUGACUUGUGGGUAAAGAUGCGCAACCUCUGCAGAGUGUAAAACUGGUAUACUAGCCGUGCUCACGGUCAUGAGCGGCUCGGACCCUCACAUGAUUAAAUUAUGGAACUUAAACUCAAUUUGUCAUAUGCAUUGCAUCGCAGGUGAGGUUGUUACUUUUGUUCUACUACUUAACUGGGUUUGGUAUUUACUUAUACUUAGUAAUUGCUAAUAAAAUUUUGACCAACUUUAAAAGCAAUGCUCAGCUUCAACCAUCCUCUUUGGUAAGCCUUACACUUCACAUGAACUCCCACUUUUGGCGAGUUCAUUCACAUUAUUCCCCACAACUUGUUGAGCGAUGAACGUAUGUGAGCUCACUCUUGCUGUCUCACACCCCCCCCCACAGGUCAAGAGCAGGUACCACAGGAUGAGGCGCAUGAAGGAUGCUGUGAUGAGUUCGUGAGUGGUCUAGGCCGUCGUCUCCCAGUCAACUUUGGGUUGCUGGAUCGUUUCCUCAUAUGAUGUAAUUACUUAUUUUGUACAGAACUCCUGUUAUAUAGUAAAGAUGUGACAUUCGAUCCUGUGCCACUAUGCAUCAUAUGUGUGAGACUUGGUCCCAGCACACCUGGUGUUUAUGUUCGCGCCCGGGUUUUUGACCCCUAAAACCCGGGUGUGACAGAAGUGGUAUCAGAGGAAUAUUGACUGUAAGACGAAACCUAGAUAGAACUGGACAACCAAUACUUACUUAUCUUUGCUACUCUGAUUCUUUUCUAAACUUUUCUUAAUCUUUUCUCAUCUAUUUUCGCUUUACUCUGAUUAUUCUUACCUUUUCAUUCUAAAGACAAAUGUGGAUUUCACACUUUGAAAUCCUGUGCCUAAAGUGACUUUAGGAAUAGGAGACCUACUCUUAGGAACAAAAACAAAACUAUUUUUAUAGGUAUUUGUAUGCUUGAAUGUUUGUUCUUAUGAUACUUGUUUGAUUUGGAUCUUUGAUUGAGUGUGAUUAGUUGUGGAGUAAUGUCCACAAUUACAUCUGCAUAUACAUAUAAGCAUAAAUAGAAUUCAUAAGAUAACUAAACAGCCUAGAUUACUCUCCAUUAAAGUGUAUCUAUUUUAAUAGAUCAAUCUUAUCUUGAAAGAUUCUUUCCUAUCUUAAUAGAUUCUCUUAUCUUAAAAGAUACUCUCCUAUAUUAAUAGAUCCAUUUUAUCUUAAAAAGAUUCUCUUUUAUUUUAAAAGAUUCUCUUUUAUAUUAAAAAAAAGAUUCUACCCUUUUCUACUAGAUCUAAUUAAUCUCAAAAGAUUAUGUCUUAAUCGUAGAGACUUGUCUUGUUCUAACAAGCAUACUUAUCCCAACCACUUGGCUUAUAUCAUAACCUUCUAACGAAUAUGAUCUAUUCCCACCUAACAACGAACAAACUUUUGACCUACAUCAUGUAGUCUAUCUUACCCAUAUCUAUCUUAACUAUAUCACCCAACUCCGAUGAUAUACACUAACCUCAAAUUAAAGAGACCAAGACUGGAGAAGAAAAGAUAAACCUCGUUAAGGAAGGAGAGAAGUCAAACUCAAUCUUCAGAUGCAUUACCGCCCAACACGGAGUUCUUUCCCACCAUAAACUUUCUUACCACAUGCUCUUCUUGCCCUAACCUACCCAUAUUUUAUAAUAAAAUGACUAUACAAAUAGAUACCCAUGCUUUCCUAGCCACUUUCUAAUUAACAAGAAACUUCUUAUUCUUGAACUAAUUAGAAAUUAAAAGUAAACUAUAAAUAAAGCUUUUUACAUCCCUGUCCUUACAAAUCUCGGGGACGAGAUUUCUGUUAAGGGGUAGGAUUUGUAAGACCCAAAAUUUAUAUGAGAAAAAAAUAAUAAAAUAAAUAUAUGUAGUAUUCCUAUCAUAAACUAUAUAAUUAGAAAAUACUUUUCAAAAUAUUCAAGUAACCCUUGAUGGAAGAUGUAAAUUACUAAAACAAGCAAGUAAUAAAUAUGAAUUUUCUUUAAUACUUUUAAAAUAAUCUUCUUGGAUUAAAUAAUGUGUGAAGUAUUCAUUUAAGAAUUAUAUGCUCGAGGCAAUAGAUUUGGUUAAAAUUGAGAAAUGAGGACACUAUUAUUUUGAUCAACUUUAGGCUUGAAUAUUGGUAAAGAAGUAUAAACUGAAAUCUAAAAAAAACAAAAAAACAAAACUCCGUGUGGGAUGAUUUACCCUUGGCCAUAGUUCAUACGUAUAUCUUUUUGCUUGCCAGGAAUGACAUCAUCGCAAGCUCAUUCAUGAAAACAUCAAUAUCUCAAUGACGUGUGGGCUCCACUAGCCGGUCUCCCCCGCGUGUGCUCGCUACUCUGCUGUGUGGACCCCAUGCAUCGGACUUAUCUCCUCCCCAAAUCCGCGCCAGAGCUUUCUUCCCCGUGAAAAAUCGGAAUCGCGCGCAACUGAUGCCGUGGUUUCAGGCGGGUCAAUGGGAUUUGCUGUUCUUCGGCCGGCGUCGCGCUCACGUGCGCGGGAUUCCUCCCUGGCUCCGCUCUGUAUAUUUAACCAAUCCUCAGCUCUCAUCUUCCAAAAGUUCUCACCUGCGCCGUCGGUCACCGGUCGGCCACCAGGAUCUCACGGCCGCUAUGCGCGCUGAGAGAGAAAAAUCGAGUGGAGGAGAGAGAAAAUUGGGGGCUGCAUGAGUUCAUCCGAAGCCGAUCCUUGGACCCUCCUAUACCUAUUGCUUAGCUUCCCCGGCUGUCCACCAUCGCGCGCCAAGAGCACCGUGCGGGCGUGGCCGAUUUCCCCCAGGCAGGAACUUCACCUCCGAACUGACCACGGCGCAUGGACCUCGGGUGAGAACCCUUAGCCGCUUCUGUUUAAUUCAUCCAUGCUUGUAGUACUCUGUAGGCUAGGAUUUCAGGGCUCUGACGACUGGUGCGUCGUGGGCUGGUGAUAAUGUUUAGUGGGCGCUGCUGUUCUGGGAGCUCGCUGCGCCAUGGUGGCCCUCGGACGCUCCCUGGACUGCCUUGCGAGGCGAGAGGAUUGGCGAGGGAGGUUGAAGAUGGACUGGGCGCCGUAGAUUGAGAAUGGGUGGUCCCGAUUAGCUUAACUUAACGCUUCAGAUGAACGAACCUAGGGCGUUAGUUCGUAGACGAUCGGUUAGAUUUGAUCAUGGCGUGAAUCACUGCUGAUCGCUGAUCUCUGAUCGGGCGGCAGUAGAAACGUACCGGUUCAUCUUUUAGCAGAUGUAAUCGUGGCCCUUCGGUUCAGAUCGGACGGCCAGAACUGUUCCGAUACCCCCCUUCGGUCGUGGCAUUUUGUGUAAGAGUCCCUGGACUUAUUGCUAAUCAGCCCGCCAUCCGUGGAAGUUCAAAAAGAAUUACGAUUCAGUCCUUUUUAUUCCGGAUAGGUCCCUGUCCUUUAGGAAAAUUGAAUCUGACGUCCUACUAUUGGCCAGAAAAUUAUUAUUAAACAUAACAUUUAUCCAUAAACUUGUUUAAUUAAUAACUUUCACAUUUUAACUCCGUUUUGCCCUGUUCUAAUUGCGUUGGACCCGUAUUAAUAUUGCCUACGCCAUAGUAAAAUUAUUUUACCAUGUAACAUGUUCUCAAAAAUAAAUAAUUAAUUUGUCCAACCCACGGUUAUUGAAUUAACAUGAUUAAUGUGGGUUACUAUGGGAUUUUAAUUAUGAUCAUCUACUGGAAUAUGAUUCUAUUAUAACUAAGAUUAAAAGUUGAGUUAGCUACAUCUUUUCUCACAUGAUUUAUUUUAAUCACCAUAAUAUAUAGUUUUAUUGAUUAAUCACUUAGAACCUGGUAAAUCAUAUCUCCUUAACCACGACUCGAUCUUAGUGGUUCUCGAUCCCUCGAUUUCGUUACGACACGUAGAUCAUUAUUAUUCGGUUUGUACUUAUGUUUGGUGUGAUGUUAAUUUUGUCUAUACCAUGUCUGUUUGUAUUGCUACGACUAGCGCGAGGACACGUGUCAUCUGAAAAGCAAGUUGGUACCUGGAAUCUCAAGUGCCAGGCAAGUUGUGCCCUUGAUCACUUCUUUUUACCCCACUCAUGUUCUAAUUAAUCAUAAUGAUCUGCAUAGGUUAAUUUUGAUGGGACCCAAUAGGUUACCCUAGUUUGUCUAUCUUUAUACCUUGUUUACCACUGAACUUUUUGGGUAGUACUUGCUAGUGCUUUAUGUGGUUUUGGGUAUGAAGAUACAUUAAUCAUGAUCACACUGUUAUUAUCUGUUUAUUAUUACUGUUCAUGAUAAGAUCAUUAUGUUAAUUGGAACAUGGAGAACCACCCGGGAAAACAGUGCUACCACAAGGGAGGAAUGGGACCCCUUGGCUGAUUAAUUAGGAAAGCUAGUGGAAGACUACCUUACCCGAAAGGGGCAAGGGCAGUAGGGGAGUGGUCAGUGUAGGGAGGCCCUCGGGAGGAUUUUGCUGCGAUGGCGGUCCUGCAAGGGAUUCCUGCAUUGGAGCUUUCAAUAAACUGUAGCGGGUUUUCUGAAGCUAGUGGAACUUUGUAAAGGCCUCGUAGUGUUACCCUGCCUCGCCUCCUCGGUAGAGGUGUUUGGGAAGUCGCGAUCCCUUGGCAGAUGGGUAACAUGACUUGUGGGUAAAGAUGCGCAACCUCUGCAGAGUGUAAAACUGGUAUACUAGCCGUGCUCACGGUCAUGAGCGGCUCGGACCCUCACAUGAUUAAAUUAUGGAACUUAAACUCAAUUUGUCAUAUGCAUUGCAUCGCAGGUGAGGUUGUUACUUUUGUUCUACUACUUAACUGGGUUUGGUAUUUACUUAUACUUAGUAAUUGCUAAUAAAAUUUUGACCAACUUUAAAAGCAAUGCUCAGCUUCAACCAUCCUCUUUGGUAAGCCUUACACUUCACAUGAACUCCCACUUUUGGCGAGUUCAUUCACAUUAUUCCCCACAACUUGUUGAGCGAUGAACGUAUGUGAGCUCACUCUUGCUGUCUCACACCCCCCCCCACAGGUCAAGAGCAGGUACCACAGGAUGAGGCGCAUGAAGGAUGCUGUGAUGAGUUCGUGAGUGGUCUAGGCCGUCGUCUCCCAGUCAACUUUGGGUUGCUGGAUCGUUUCCUCAUAUGAUGUAAUUACUUAUUUU